ACCACAGUUUAAAUGUUGAAAUGUUUCCCACUUAAGCACAAAACACACUUGAUUUCGGCUAAAACAAAAACCUCAGCUUUUAUAUAUUAUGUUUCAAAGUGGAGAUGGCUGUGAAACUUGAGCCCUGACACAACCUCAACGUGACUUUUUAAAAGUGCUCAGAAAACCCUUCUUCUAAUGAACAUGAUGAGAGGCUGCUCCUUAAUGAUUUUUUUUUUGCCUGCCUUACAUCAUUUAUUCUAAAUCAUUAAAAAAUCAAAAUAGUUUACAUUAAACAAAUUCUCAAGUACAAAAGAGGAUGGUCUCCCUCAUUGUUGGAUGAAGAUGGAAAAGGCUACAGAGCUAGUUCCAGGGGAGAAUAGAGACUCGGUAGUGACAGCUUAAUUCUCAAGAGCUGUUACUUAACAGAACUUUAAAAAGCCAAAUGACAUAUUCUUGAAUUAUUAAUAAAAAUCGUGCAAAAUACACUUUAGGGACCAUGGGAAAAUUCAUUUUGUCCUUGCUUUUAACAUUUUCAGAGCCUAUCUCAGUGAACAAAAUGCUAAGUCCAAAAACAAGUGAAUUAAUAUUUAGGUGGUUGAGCAAGACUUCUGAUUUUUGUUUAUUGCUCUUUGAUUUUUUUUUUAGUAGCCCAUUGUAAAAACCCUGGGGCGCACCUUCAGAAUGCAUGAAUAAUAUCAAUAAUAACUAAUACAGCCUGCUAUGGAAAAUACUGUUUUCAAAACCACAGGUUAGUUCCUGGAAGUCAGCCGGUCAGAGAAAGGAUGUGGUGUAGCAGCAAGUUUAAAUAGCUUGUGCAACAAAGGGAAGAGAGCUCUGUUGACUUCUGCCUCCUUGAGGGUUGAAAUCAGAAAGAACUAUAUUUAAAUAGCUCAUUCAGAAAGCAUAGAAGAUGAAGAAACCAUUCCAUUUUGAAAAGCUUCACUCAUCACUUUGGGGAAUUCAGAUGAGAGAGGAAGUAAUGUAUCAGGAUAAUGAUACGAUAAAAGUGUAUUCUUUACGCUGUGCCUCCCAGGAAGCCCCGCCUCCAUAGCAGAAUGCUCAUGGUCUCCUGAGGGAAGUACACAGCACCUUAUUGGAAGCACUCUUGCCAGAGCACUGAACCUGAAUAUGACAAAGCCUGCUUAUCAAGCUACCAGUUUGGAGGAAAGACCAGGAAGAGAGAACAUGUUAAACAAAGCCAUGCAAAGCGGUCAGCAAAACCCAGAAUAUGGGAAAUUGCAGGACAAACAACCGAAUUUUGCCAACAAAUAAAUUGCAAGGGAAGAAAAGGGGAG
Long non-coding RNA from Bubalus bubalis (water buffalo), 1277 nucleotides. RefSeq lists it as uncharacterized. The record is from RefSeq and is a predicted model, not a curated record. NCBI's taxonomy places the organism in Eukaryota, Metazoa, Chordata, Mammalia, Artiodactyla, Bovidae. The transcript has 2 exons.